UGCAGGUAUUCAAGAAUUCCUCUGCACAAAGUCAGCGAGCAGAAACACCUUGGUUAAAGAGAGCACCUUCUAUUUGAAUGAGGGAGCAAAGAGCCAAGCCAAGAGAAGUUUUUCCUUGAUCUAUUGAUUGAGCCACACAAUGUCCUUGAAGAGAAGAAGCAGGACAUGAGUGUAUGAGAACUCUCCUGGCACAUUGCUCAUUCAAGAUUGACUAGAUGAUUCCAGAGAAAAAGAAGAGAAAAAUGGAAUAAGAAUUUGUACCACCUGUGGGGCCUGUGGAAAGAAGAGUCUGGAAUUGUUGACAGGUCAUGACUGGCAUGUGGCUAUUACUUGAGCUCUGUAUGCCUCAGACACCCAAAACAUUGACGACCACAUGGGAUGGUGUAAAUGUCUGAGCCUCUGGUCAUUGCAGAAUUUCUAUAUGGGAGAGUAGGUCCUACUUGGUGAAGUUCCUACCACCUCCUAUUUGCUGCACAAGACAAUAUAGGUUAAAUCCAAAGAUUUUCACAUUGUUUAAAGUUUUUUCCAUCUCUGUUUUAAUUAGUACUAAUCCUGUCUCAGAUAAAUAUUUGAUCAGAACUGCCCUGCCUUAUAUGCUGCAUUAUUUGUGACCAGCAAGAUGUAAAACUGGGAGGAACAGUGGUUAGCACAUUACGUGGGUGGGGAGGAAAAUAAAGAGCACAGACCUUC
This is a non-coding RNA of Phascolarctos cinereus (koala), 690 nucleotides long. The record is from RefSeq and is a predicted model, not a curated record. NCBI's taxonomy places the organism in Eukaryota, Metazoa, Chordata, Mammalia, Diprotodontia, Phascolarctidae.